GCUUGUGAGGGCGAUCUGGCUGCGACAUCUGUCACCCCAUUGAUCUCCAGGGUUGAUUCGGCUGAUCUGGCUGGCUAGG
RNAcentral lists this small nuclear RNA (79 nucleotides) under Ophiophagus hannah (king cobra). RNAcentral describes it as "7SK RNA". It matches the Rfam family "7SK RNA", at positions 1 to 79 of the family's 331-position model. From Rfam's summary of the family: 7SK was discovered as an abundant small nuclear RNA in the mid-70s but a possible function has only recently been suggested. Two independent studies have found that 7SK RNA binds the CDK9/cyclin T complex (known as elongation factor P-TEFb). Lineage: Eukaryota; Metazoa; Chordata; Lepidosauria; Squamata; Elapidae. The record is from Rfam by way of RNAcentral.